AACGAACGCUGGCGGCAUGCCUAACACAUGCAAGUCGAACGAGACCUUCGGGUCUAGUGGCGCACGGGUGCGUAACGCGUGGGAACCUGCCCUUAGGUUCGGAAUAACUCCCCGAGAGGGGUGCUAAUACCGGAUAAUGUCCUCGGACCAAAGAUUUAUCGCCUUUGGAUGGGCCCGCGUUGGAUUAGCUAGUUGGUAGGGUAAAAGCCUACCAAGGCGACGAUCCAUAGCUGGUCUGAGAGGAUGAUCAGCCACACUGGGACUGAGACACGGCCCAGACUCCUACGGGAGGAAGCAGUGGGGAAUAUUGGACAAUGGGCGAAAGCCUGAUCAAGCAAGGCCGCGUGAGUGAUGAAGGCCUUAGGGUUGUAAAGCUCUUUUACCCGGGAUGAUAAUGACAGUACCGGGAGAAUAAGCUCCGGCUAACUCCGUG
RNAcentral lists this ribosomal RNA (433 nucleotides) under uncultured bacterium. RNAcentral describes it as "partial 16S ribosomal RNA". It matches the Rfam family "Bacterial small subunit ribosomal RNA", at positions 29 to 507 of the family's 1533-position model. The record is from RNAcentral.